UACAGAGGUCUCAAGCGUUGUUCGGAUUUAUUGGGCGUAAAGGGUGCGUAGGCGGCGCGGUAAGUCGGGUGUGAAAUCUCGGAGCUUAACUCCGAAACUGCAUUCGAUACUGCCGUGCUUGAGGACUGGAGAGGAGACUGGAAUUUACGGUGUAGCGGUGAAAUGCGUAGAUAUCGUAAGGAAGACCAGUGGCGAAGGCGGGUCUCUGGACAGUUCCUGACGCUGAGGCACGAAGGCCAGGGGAGCAGACGGG
This 253-nucleotide ribosomal RNA is filed under the name uncultured bacterium. RNAcentral's name for it is "partial 16S ribosomal RNA". It matches the Rfam family "Bacterial small subunit ribosomal RNA", at positions 524 to 776 of the family's 1533-position model. The record is from RNAcentral.